This 265-nucleotide ribosomal RNA is filed under the name uncultured bacterium. Its description in RNAcentral is "partial 16S ribosomal RNA". It matches the Rfam family "Bacterial small subunit ribosomal RNA", at positions 793 to 1055 of the family's 1533-position model. The record is from RNAcentral.
GUCCACGCUGUAAACGAUGUGUGCUAGACGUUGGGGAGCCUAGCUCUUCGGUGUCGCAGCUAACGCUUUAAGCACACCGCCUGGGGAGUACGGCCGCAAGGUUAAACUCAAAGGAAUUGACGGGGGCCCGCACAAGCGGUGGAGCAUGUGGUUUAAUUCGACGCAACGCGAAGAACCUUACCAGCCCUUGACAUGUCCGGUAUGGGUGGGGAGACCUCAUUCUUCAGUUCGGCUGGCCGGAACACAGGUGCUGCAUGGCUGUCGU